UAUAAUCACCAAAACAUAUAAAGUUCAAGUUCUUUUGCCAUUUAAGGUGCCUACUGUAGCCAGCUAUAACUAUAUUUGGUAUAUAACGUGAAUUUAAUAGUUAGAAAAAAAAUUAUCAUACAAUCACUAUACAAAAUUAGGUAUUCUAUUUGUUUUAAACCUUUGAUAGAUGAAUUCUGGCACCAACGUGAUAUCUCAGCUAAACAUGUUAUCAAACUCAUCAGCUCCAAGGUUUUGUCCUUUAACUUUGACGUAACUGAGAUAUGUUGUUUUGUGUAACAUGACAAAUUAUGCUUCUUUUAAUCUAGAAAAAAUGUUCAUAUUUACCGUGAUGGCUCGUUGACGGAGGAAACUGGAGUAAGAAGGAUCACAUUUCCGGAAAACCAUGAAGGGGCCGAAAUAGAGGCGGUGACUUCACCGGAGAUAUCAAAACCAAGGUUGUUCUUGACUACCUCAAACACACUUCUUAGUUCUUGAUGUAAUCACGCCUCUGGUCUUUCCCAAGAAGCCCUAACAAGCAUGGUCUAUUUUAGGGAUCACCAAUCUAUAAAACGCUACAAUAAACUACUCCUCCCAUUGUUUCAAACAAAGUUUGAAUUGUUCUAGUGAAUAUAACUAAGAAAGCUGAACAUAAAUGGUGCCAGGAUGUGAAGUGGCUUUGAGAAGAAAGUCAGUGUGCCCCCAACGAACUGCGUCUUCAGCAUUUAAUAAUUCAAAAUUCAUGCAUGAGAUCAUCAAACCCAAGUAAAAUCAAUGAGAGUAUUGUGGUAGUGAAUGCCAUUAGAAAUUUAAACUUCAUGUUGUCCCAUGCAUCGUAGGAUCCUCCCAUCAAGUCCACCUACAAAUUAAACCCAUUAACCAAAGUUAUAGUGUUUAAAAAAAAAGAUGAGAUUUCUAUGGAUGUGCUUUUGUGCUGAAUUUUCUUAUGUGUUUAACAGAUUCGUGGUAACUACAUAUUUUUCUUAGCUAAACAUUACGGAUGCUCAAAAAUCCUAACCACAGUGGCACAGUGAGUAAGUUUAGUGACUAGCUACUUUCAUAAGAUCAGUAAGACUUUUGGCCGCGUUCAGUAUAUGGUGAUAUCAAGGCAUGCACAACGAUUAUAAUUUAUAAACCACGAGCAGAUCUUAGAGGUUCUGGCAUUAGAAGCAUGUGAUAAGAAUGCUAGUAGAUAUUAAUGUUUUGCAAAUCUAGGUCAGAGUGAGUCGUUUUCGGACCGUUGUGCCUUGAGAUUGUUUUCGUGACAACGCUUCCAUAAAUAAAUUAAUCUUAAACACAAGUGUACAUGUGGCUUUUAAAAAUGAUCGACAGCUGAUUAAUCAAUUACUAUAAGAGAAUCUUUUUAUGAACUGAUCGAAUCUCAACGGUAACAAUCAUUGAUUGUAAUUCUAUAUACGCAAUGGUAGAUUAUAAUUUUUAAAGGCGUGUUGACAGAAUAAGUGGUAACUUGACGCCUAUAGCUUAAUUUGCAUGAAUAGGAGGCGGAUCAGGGGAAUUUGCAUCGCCACAAGCAGCCACCGUUGAACACAAAUCCACGAGAAAGAAAUGACUUGUUUUACUGAUGAUGGUGCUUGGAGAAAGGAUAGUCAUGCAGGAGGAAUAUAAUGGAUCAUGGGUCAUUAGAGAUACAAAUGGUCAAUCUUUUAAAAUUUGUGCCAUCGGUGUAAGCUCUCUGGCAUGUUAAAUCAUUCGUGGAAAUACAUAAUAAUGGUGACAAAUAAAUUGAAUAAUUGAACAAAUUGUCAAAAAUAUUACAACCACUAAAAUCGAUAGCCAACUUCUAAUAUUAAGUCAGUCACGACUCACUAGUACAAACC
Molecule: long non-coding RNA, 1817 nt
Filed under: Brassica napus (rape)
Lineage: Eukaryota; Viridiplantae; Streptophyta; Magnoliopsida; Brassicales; Brassicaceae
Description: long non-coding RNA (BNAP_LNC008469)
Source: RNAcentral